UAUAUAAUAGAACAUGCGUUCAAAUAUUUAAAGUUUUGGGAUGUCUGCCAGCCAAUCCCCCAUAGUGUAGUGGUCAUGGUCCCUGCCUAGUAAGCAGAAACCGCUGGUUCGAGUCCCGCUCGGUCUAUUCUUUUUUUGUUUAUUUCUCUUCAUUACAUCUUGCAUAAUCGAUUACAAUCAUUCGAGUGACUCAACAUUCAAUCAUGAUCAUCAGUGUAGCCUAGGCCUAUAAAACGCAAGUGGAAACUUGUAUUGGCCUUCAUUCCUGCCGAGAUGUCAACCGAAAGAACACCUCAUGACCCGCACAUUAUUUUUCGCUAUUUACGGGACCAUGCCUAUCCAGCUCGUUGCAGUCUUUCGAGGAAGCGGUCCAUCCGCCGAGCAGCAAAGAACAAUUUUAAGCUUGAACGCGGUGAACUCAUGUAUCGGCGACUGAAAAAGAAGAUAAACGACGUCCCAGGCACUUACGAUGAUGCUGACCAAGAUGGGGAAUUACACGAAAGUCCUUGGCGCAAGGUCCUUAUGACGCCAAAACAGAUCGAUGACGCGCUUGCGAAUCUCCAUUCGUCGGCCUUAGGUGGGCAUUUAGGAAGGGAUAAAACCUUGGACAAAGUUGAAAAGCGCUAUUGGUGGCAAAACCUUGUAGCCGACGUUAAUGCCUUUCUGAAGAAAUG
This is an RNA transcript of Lineus longissimus, 674 nucleotides long. RefSeq lists it as uncharacterized. The record is from RefSeq and is a predicted model, not a curated record. The transcript has 3 exons. Lineage: Eukaryota; Metazoa; Nemertea; Pilidiophora; Heteronemertea; Lineidae.